GAACGUACCUUUCAGUGGGGGAUAACGUAGCGAAAGUUACGUUAAUACCGCAUAUUCUGUGAGCAGGAAAGCAGGGGAUCUUAGGACCUUGCGCUGAUUGAGCGGCCGAUAUCAGAUUAGCUAGUUGGUGAGGUAAAGGCUCACCAAGGCGACGAUCUGUAGCGGGUCUGAGAGGAUGAUCCGCCACACUGGAACUGAGACACGGUCCAGACUCCUACGGGAGGCAGCAGUGGGGAAUUUUGGACAAUGGGGGCAACCCUGAUCCAGCCAUGCCGCGUGAGUGAAGAAGGCCUUCGGGUUGUAAAGCUCUUUCGGCCGGGAAGAAAUCGCAUGGGUUAAUACCCUGUGCGGAUGACGGUACCGGCAUAAGAAGCACCGGCUAACUACGUGCCAGCAGCCGCGGUAAUACGUAGGGUGCGAGCGUUAAUCGGAAUUACUGGGCGUAAAGCGUGCGCAGGCGGUUUUGUAAGACAGGCGUGAAAUCCCCGGGCUCAACCUGGG
Molecule: ribosomal RNA, 501 nt
Filed under: uncultured bacterium
Lineage: Bacteria
Description: bacterial SSU rRNA
Rfam family: Bacterial small subunit ribosomal RNA
Source: RNAcentral